ACUUCAAACACUCCUGUUACCCCAGACAUUUUCUUGGACUGCUGCAGCUGUCCUAAAACCAGCCAUGAUCCUCCACAUUGCUGUGCUUAGUGUCCUCUUCUGCUGGAUCCACUGUUUUGCUAUACAGGCCUCUUUUGAAAAGAGUGAUGAGUACUCUGGCAACACCAUAGAGGAUGAUGAGUUCAGUGUCUCCACACUGUUAGAGAAGGCUAAUGCUAAUGUUGGAAAAAACUUAAAUGAGCCCCUAGUGAUGUUUGGGGACAUAGCAAUGCCAACAGGUCUACAGAACGCUGAUCCCUGUAUACAACGAGGAUGCCUGUGGCCCAAAGCUUCUGAUGGCAACGUCUAUGUACCCUUCCGCAUCUCCAACCAGUACUCCCAAAGAGAGAGAGAUACCAUCACCCGAGGACUGCGGUCAUUUGCUGAAUCCACCUGCAUCCGCUUCACCCCCUUGAAUGGUCAGAGGGACUUUGUGGAUAUUCAGUCUCGUUCAGGGUGCUACUCAUUUGUCGGGCGUCGAGGUGGGGCCCAGGUGGUGUCUUUGAGUCGACAGGGCUGUGUUUUCCAACAGGUCAUCCAGCAUGAGCUGCUCCAUGCCCUGGGGUUUAACCAUGAGCAGACCCGGUCCGACAGGGACCAGCAUGUUCAAAUCCUGCUGAAUAAUGUUAUUCAAGGAAUGGAGCACAAUUUCAGGAAGAUCCCAACAAUCAACCUUGACACUCCCUAUGACUACAACUCUGUCAUGCACUAUGGAAGGUUUGCCUUCUCUAGGAACAGGCAGCCAACCAUUAUUCCUAUCCCUGACAACAAUGUAGCCAUCGGCAGGGCCACCGCAAUGAGCCCUAUUGAUAUUCUUCGAGUGAACCGUCUUUAUCGCUGCAAUUCAACUUCUUCCGGACUUGACCUGACCAUGCAAAGAAAACAUUUCCUCUCAAAUUGAAAGUAAGUCAGUUUGGAUAUUCUUUCUAGCUUGCUAUGUACACAUUACACUUUUUUUGUUUUGUUUUGUUUUUUUGGAGAAAUUGUGAAUGUAAAUUUAUUGAAAUUGUGAUAUUUUUAACAUAUUCCCUCUUGUUCCAACAGGAAUGAGGCAUUUUGAUUCAACAAGCAAAACCAGCAAUGCAUCUUGUACUUAGCAAUUGCGCUUUAAAGAAAAUCAGAAUUUGAUUAAAUUAGCUUUUCUGCUUGCUGAACGACAAAUGAAGUGUUCAGUGAGAUCGUCUGAUCGUCGAUUUCUAUCACUUUAACCAUACAGCAUAACUGCUUGCAAGCUUGAUUGAGUACGAAUAAUGAAUAAAAAUUAAUAUUCACAUGUCUUUA
This is an RNA transcript of Scatophagus argus, 1320 nucleotides long. It is a transcript of the gene named low choriolytic enzyme-like, with no coding region annotated. NCBI's taxonomy places the organism in Eukaryota, Metazoa, Chordata, Actinopteri, Scatophagidae. The transcript has 10 exons. The record is from RefSeq and is a predicted model, not a curated record.